AGCAGCCGCGGUAAUUCCAGCUCCAAUAGCGUAUAUUAAAGUUGUUGCAGUUAAAAAGCUCGUAGUUGAACUUCAGGCCUGGCUGGACGGUCCGCCCUCUGGGUGAGCACUGUCUGUGGUCGGGUCCUACCUUCUGGCGAAGCGGCAUGGCCUUAACCGGCCGUGGCGGGGAACCAGGACCUUUUACUGUGAAAAAAUUAGAGUGUUCAAAGCAGGCACGCGCUUGAAUACAUUAGCAUGGAAUAAUGGAAUAGGACAAUGGUUCUAUUUGUUGGUUUCUAGGACCGUUGUAAUGAUUAAUAGGGAUAGUUGGGGGCAUUAGUAUUCAAUUGUCAGAGGUGAAAUUCUUGGAUUUAUUGAAGACUAACUACUGCGAAAGCAUUUGCCAAGGAUGUUUUCAUUAAUCAAGAACGAAAGUUAGGGGAUCGAAGACGAUCAGAUACCGUCGUAGUCUUAACUAUAAACGAUGCCGACCAGGGAUCCGGGGUCGUCCUAUGGAUGACUCCCCGGGCACCUUAGG
Molecule: ribosomal RNA, 520 nt
Filed under: uncultured Paraglomus
Lineage: Eukaryota; Fungi; Glomeromycota; Glomeromycetes; Paraglomerales; Paraglomeraceae
Description: bacterial SSU rRNA
Rfam family: Eukaryotic small subunit ribosomal RNA
Source: RNAcentral